This 332-nucleotide unclassified non-coding RNA is filed under the name soil metagenome. RNAcentral's name for it is "partial contains 5.8S ribosomal RNA, internal transcribed spacer 2, and large subunit ribosomal RNA". The stretch from base 1 to 120 matches the Rfam family "5.8S ribosomal RNA", at positions 35 to 154 of the family's 154-position model. The record is from RNAcentral.
GAUGAAGAACGUAGCAAAAUGCGAUAUGUAAUGUGAAUUGCAGAAUUCAGUGAAUCAUCGAAUCUUUGAACGCACAUUGCGCCCGCCAGUAUUCUGGCGGGCAUGCCUGUUCGAGCGUCAUUUCAACCCUCAAGCACAGCUUGGUGUUGGGACUCGCGUUAAUUCGCGUUCCUCAAAUUGAUUGGCGGUCACGUCGAGCUUCCAUAGCGUAGUAGUAAAACCCUCGUUACUGGUAAUCGUCGCGGCCACGCCGUUAAACCCCAACUUCUGAAUGUUGACCUCGGAUCAGGUAGGAAUACCCGCUGAACUUAAGCAUAUCAAUAAGCGGAGGA